This 399-nucleotide transfer-messenger RNA is filed under the name Candidatus Magasanikiibacteriota bacterium. It matches the Rfam family "transfer-messenger RNA". Rfam says of the family: Bacterial tmRNA, also known as 10Sa RNA or SsrA, is named for its dual tRNA and mRNA-like properties. Its role is to liberate the mRNA from a stalled ribosome. To accomplish this part of the tmRNA is used as a reading frame that ends in a translation stop signal. The record is from RNAcentral. Lineage: Bacteria; Candidatus Magasanikiibacteriota.
GGGGAUGACAGGCUUCGAUAGAUGGAUUCUGUUAUCUUGUAUAUGCAUGUCAGAGUGCCUACCUCUGUAACAAAUAGGCAAUCCACAAGUGCAAACUUGUUCGAGCGAGCUAAAAAUACUGUAGCGAAAGCUUUCAGUGUACCUAGCUUUGCUUCUGUUGUAGCCUAAAUCACUACGACCAUCGCACCUAUAAUACUCGAUAGUCGGCCCGCGGUGCCAACCCUAGCUCGAGUGUAGACCAACUCUGUUCGUGUGGGAGUUAGUUGAAACCAUUCAUGCGAUAGCAUACGAUAUUUUUCGAUGUUUCAUAUUCGUAUGCGAAACACCAAAUAUCGAUACACAUGUAGAGUAUCGGGGUAACCCGUCUAGACCCGGGUUCGACUCCCGGCAUCUCCACUA